Molecule: unclassified non-coding RNA, 249 nt
Filed under: uncultured fungus
Lineage: Eukaryota; Fungi
Also listed under: 1 other name
Description: partial contains 5.8S ribosomal RNA, internal transcribed spacer 2, and large subunit ribosomal RNA
Source: RNAcentral
AACGCACAUUGCGCCCCUUGGUAUUCCAUGGGGCAUGCCUGUUCGAGCGUCAUUUGUACCCUCAAGCUCUGCUUGGUGUUGGGUGUUUGUCCACUCCGUUGUGUGUGGACUCGCCUUAAAGCAAUUGGCAGCCAGUGUUUUGGUAUUGAAGCGCAGCACAUUUUGCGAGUCUUGCCUGUAAUGCUAGCGUCCAGUAAGCCUUUUUCCACUUUUGACCUCGGAUCAGGUAGGGAUACCCGCUGAACUUAA